CCAUAGGAUGUCUUAUUAUAGACAUAAUUAAAAGCUCCAAAAAGCUUCUUUAUUACAUGGGUCCUUGUCUUAUUGAGGAGUCCUGUCUUAGAGACAAAUUAGCACAUUAACAUCAUGCAACUACACAAGUGAUUAGGGAGUUGCGUUACGCAGGUGCAGUUCUUAGGCAUCUUAUCACCACCAAAUCUCAAGGCCAUCUCUUGAAAACAAACAUAUUCGGGAUCAGGGGGACACUCUCUUGGAAACUCUGAAGAUUUUGUGCAAUAGUUUGCUUCAAGUAACAAAAGUAGAUCAAUACUUCUAUUUCAAAUGAUAUAAUAUGAAAUAAAGUAAGUAUAUAUAUAUAUCAAUCCUCUGUAAAUAUAGAAACAUUGAAGCCAAAAAUUUCCCAAGAAAAUGAAGACUGUCGUUAAAAAAAUUUAAACAACAGAGGUUGUCCAUACGAGGAAUGAUAUACCAGUUCAAAACAUUAUUAAAAUAGAUUUAAAUGGUGUAUGUUUUUUGACUGAAUAGGAAAAACUAAAUAUAUCGAUUUUUUUAUUCAGUUAAAAGUAAUCGAUUGAUAUCAAUCAACUUAACUAAAGUAAAUUUAUUAUUAAUAAAUUUGAUUUAAUUAUAUGGUUUGAUAUCAAUAUGCUAUUUUUAGUUCAAUAAAAAAAGUCAAAUAUUUUAACUUUUUGUUUGUAAAGAAAAAACAUACACUACCAUAGUAUAGAAUCAUAUUUAACAUUUAAAUAAAUAUAUUUUAGUGUUAUAAAAUAUUUAUUUCUUAAAAUAAUAUUGGAAGAGAAAUAUCAACGAAAUCGAUAUCCCUUGCAACGUACUUUAUGAAGUAAGAUUAUGAAAAUUUUCACAAAGUAUGAUGAAUUUUUUUGGUAUAUAAAGGCAAGUAUGAAAAUAAUAAUAAUAAAAAUUUCAAAAGUACCAAGUAUCAUGGAGAUAUGAAUAUCGAAGGUAUAAAUGAGGAUAUCUUAAUUUCAAAAUGUAAACUGGCGUGUUGCAACUGGGAUAAUUUGGAUAGAAAUGUAAACCGAGAAACCAUAAAAUACCCACAAAAUAAAUGUAGCUCAAAUCUAAUUUCAAAAUCCAAUGAUUAGCCAAUUUUUUAAUUUUUUAAGACAUCUUCAUCAUAUUUUGUAAGAUUGUGAAGCCAAAUAGAUAGACUCUCUUUACAAACCAAAAAAACUCCUAUAUUUGAGACAUUGGAGUUUAGUUAUGAUACCAUUUAUUAUGAUACACUUCUAAUUAUAUAGAUAUUUUUUACUUUGAGUCAAAUUAAUCCUUACUGUUUUAAGAUACAUUUAUAUGGUUAAAAAGAACUUAUACAUAUAUAACACAAAAAACUUUCCUCUAUCUGAUAUAGAAUGUCACAAGUAGUAUUACAAAAACAAAUAUGAACUAUUACAAAAGGAUGAAAAUAUUAACAAUAUUUUGAAGAUGCUCAAAACUUUCAAAAUAACCACAAUAUUAUAAUAAAAAGAUGCAUAAAACAUCAUGAAAAUAAGAAAAUUGAUAAAAAAAAAUCUAUUAAAGAUAUCAUCAAUUAUUUAAUUUAUGUUAUAUACCUGCACCAGUGAAGUUCAACAAGCUUGAGAAAAGAAUCAAGGAAAGCAUAAGAGCGGCUACAAUCUUCUUCAUGAUUUUUG
This 1646-nucleotide long non-coding RNA is filed under the name Vitis vinifera (wine grape). Its description in RNAcentral is "long non-coding RNA (VVIN_LNC001139)". The record is from RNAcentral. Lineage: Eukaryota; Viridiplantae; Streptophyta; Magnoliopsida; Vitales; Vitaceae.